AGAGUUUGAUCCUGGCUCAGAAUCAACGCUGGCGGCGUGCCUAACACAUGCAAGUCGAACGCGAAAGCCCUUUCGGGGGUAAGUAGAGUGGCGUCCGGGUGAGUAACACGUGGGUAAUCUGCCUUCGGGUGGGGAAUAACUCGCCGAAAGGUGAGCUAAUACCGCAUAAUGCAGCGGCACCUAAUGGUGAUUAGUUGUUAAAGCGGGGGACCCUUCGGGGCCUCGUGCCUGAAGAGGAGCCUGCGGCAGAUUAGCUAGUUGGUGAGGUAAUGGCUCACCAAGGCUUCGAUCUGUAGCUGGUCUGAGAGGACGCCAGCCACACUGGCACUGACACACGGGCCAGACUCCUACGGGAGGCAGCAGUGGGGAAUUUUGGGCAAUGGGCGCAAGCCUGACCCAGCAACGCCGCGUGAGGGAGGAAAUCCUUCGGGAUGUAAACCUCACAAGCAAGGGAAGAGCGCUACAGGCCGAAUAAGUCUGUAGUCCGACGUACCUUGCUAGGCCAAAU
Molecule: ribosomal RNA, 508 nt
Filed under: uncultured soil bacterium
Lineage: Bacteria
Description: bacterial SSU rRNA
Rfam family: Bacterial small subunit ribosomal RNA
Source: RNAcentral